GAUGAACGCUGGCGGCGUGCCUAAUACAUGCAAGUCGAGCGAACGGACGAGAAGCUUGCUUCUCUGAUGUUAGCGGCGGACGGGUGAGUAACACGUGGAUAACCUGCCUAUAAGACUGGGAUAACUUCGGGAAACCGGAGCUAAUACCGGAUAAUAUUUUGAACCGCAUGGUUCAAAAGUGAAAGACGGUCUUGCUGUCUCUUAUAGAUGGAUCCGCGCUGCAUUAGCUAGUUGGUAAGGUAACGGCUUACCAAGGCAACGAUGCAUAGCCGACCUGAGAGGGUGAUCGGCCACACUGGAACUGAGACACGGUCCAGACUCCUACGGGAGGCAGCAGUAGGGAAUCUUCCGCAAUGGGCGAAAGCCUGACGGAGCAACGCCGCGUGAGUGAUGAAGGUCUUCGGAUCGUAAAACUCUGUUAUUAGGGAAGAACAUAUGUGUAAGUAACUGUGCACAUCUUGACGGUACCUAAUCAGAAAGCCACGGCUAACUACGUG
RNAcentral lists this ribosomal RNA (497 nucleotides) under uncultured bacterium. Its description in RNAcentral is "partial 16S ribosomal RNA". It matches the Rfam family "Bacterial small subunit ribosomal RNA", at positions 28 to 507 of the family's 1533-position model. The record is from RNAcentral.